Molecule: long non-coding RNA, 1001 nt
Filed under: Lonchura striata (white-rumped munia)
Lineage: Eukaryota; Metazoa; Chordata; Aves; Passeriformes; Estrildidae
Description: domestica (Bengalese finch) lncRNA (ENSLSDG00000010813.1)
Source: RNAcentral
NNNNNNNNNNNNNNNNNNNNNNNNNNNNNNNNNNNNNNNNNNGCCGCCAUCCUGCGCGCCAGCGCCGACGCCAACGCCAAGGCCACGGCCAUGGCCAGGGCCGCCGGAGCCACCGGCAUCACCAGUAUCACCAGUAUCACCAGUAUGACCGGUAUCACCAGUAUGACCAGUGCCACCAGUAAGGCCACCGGCGCUCCCAGUUUGGGCGGCAGCGUCAUCGUCACCAGAGCCGCCGCCGGCGCGGCUCCCAGCGCUCCCAGUUUGACCAGUACGACCAGUCCGGGGAGAGUCGGUGCUGGGAUUGUCCCUAAAGCCACCGGCGGGACCAGUCCGGGUGUCACCAGUGCGACCAGUGUGACCAGUUUGACUGGUGCAGCGGCUCCCAGUUUGACCAGUGCAGCGGCUCCCAGUUUGAACAGUGCAACCAGUUUGACCAGUGCGGCGGCUCCCAGUUUGACCAGUGCAACCAGUUUGACCAGUGCUGCGGCUCCCAGUGUCACCAGUACGACCAGUUUGACCAGUGCGGUGGGUCCCAGUUCAACCAGUUUGACCGGUGCGGCAGCUCCCAGUUUGACCAGUUCAACCACUGCUACAGCUUCCAGUGUCACCAGUACAACCAGUUUGACCAGUGCUGCGGCUCCCAGUGUCACCAGUGUGACCAGUGCAGCGGCUCCCAGUUCAACCAGUCUGACCAGUGCUGCGGCUCCCAGUGUGACCAGUUUGACCAGUGCAGCGGCUCCCAGUUCGACCAGUUUGACCAGUGCUGUGGCUCCCAUUGUGACCAGUUUGACCGGUGCGGCAGCUCCCAGUGUCACCAGUUUGACCAGUGCUGCGGCUCCCAGUGUCACCAGUUUGACCGGUGCAUCGGCUCCCAGUGUCACCAGUUUGACCAGUUCCACGGCUCCCAGUUUAACCAGUAUCACCAGUACGACCGGUUCCACGGCUCCCGGUGCCGCCAGUGCUGCCGUUCUCAGCGCCACCAGUUUGACCAGUGCUCCCAG